CCACCGAUAGCUCAGCGGUAGAGCGGAGGACUGUAGAUCCUUAGGUCGCUGGUUCGAAUCCGGCUCGGUGGA
RNAcentral lists this transfer RNA (72 nucleotides) under Amphimedon queenslandica. Its description in RNAcentral is "tRNA-Tyr". It matches the Rfam family "tRNA". From Rfam's summary of the family: Transfer RNA (tRNA) molecules are approximately 80 nucleotides in length. Their secondary structure includes four short double-helical elements and three loops (D, anti-codon, and T loops). Lineage: Eukaryota; Metazoa; Porifera; Demospongiae; Haplosclerida; Niphatidae. The record is from RNAcentral.